This 73-nucleotide transfer RNA is filed under the name Felis catus (domestic cat). It matches the Rfam family "tRNA". From Rfam's summary of the family: Transfer RNA (tRNA) molecules are approximately 80 nucleotides in length. Their secondary structure includes four short double-helical elements and three loops (D, anti-codon, and T loops). Further hydrogen bonds mediate the characteristic L-shaped molecular structure. tRNAs have two regions of fundamental functional importance: the anti-codon, which is responsible for specific mRNA codon recognition, and the 3' end, to which the tRNAs corresponding amino acid is attached (by aminoacyl-tRNA synthetases). tRNAs cope with the degeneracy of the genetic code in two manners: having more than one tRNA (with a specific anti-codon) for a particular amino acid; and 'wobble' base-pairing, i.e. permitting non-standard base-pairing at the 3rd anti-codon position. Lineage: Eukaryota; Metazoa; Chordata; Mammalia; Carnivora; Felidae. RNAcentral also lists the same sequence under 3 other names. The record is from Rfam by way of RNAcentral.
ACCUGGCUGGCUUAGUUGGUAGAGCAUGUGACUCUUGAUCUUAGGGUUGUAUGUUCGAGCCCCAUGUUGGGUG